ACACCUACGGGUGGCAGCAGUGGGGAAUAUUGCACAAUGGGCGAAAGCCUGAUGCAGCAACGCCGCGUGAGGGACGAAGGCCUUCGGGUUGUAAACCUCUUUUAGUAGGGAAGUAAGGGAGCUUGCUCUUGACGGUACCUGCAGAAAAAGCACCGGCUAACUACGUGCCAGCAGCCGCGGUAAUACGUAGGGUGCAAGCGUUAUCCGGAAUUAUUGGGCGUAAAGAGCUCGUAGGCGGUUUGUCGCGUCUGCUGUGAAAACUGGAGGCUCAACCUCCAGCCUGCAGUGGGUACGGGCAGACUAGAGUGCGGUAGGGGAGAUUGGAAUUCCUGGUGUAGCGGUGGAAUGCGCAGAUAUCAGGAGGAACACCAAUGGCGAAGGCAGAUCUCUGGGCCGUAACUGACGCUGAGGAGCGAAAGCAUGGGGAGCGAACAGGAUUAGAUACCCUGGUAGUCCAUGCCGUAAACGUUGGGAACUAGAUGUAGGGUCCAUUCCACGGAUUCUGUGUCGCAGCUAACGCAUUAAGUUCCCCGCCUGGGGAGUACGGCCGCAAGGCUAAAACUCAAAGGAAUUGACGGGGGCCCGCACAAGCGGCGGAGCAUGCGGAUUAAUUCGAUGCAACGCGAAGAACCUUACCAAGGCUUGACAUAUACCGGAAACGGCUGGGAAACAGUCGCCCCGCAAGGUCGGUAUAC
Molecule: ribosomal RNA, 695 nt
Filed under: uncultured bacterium
Lineage: Bacteria
Description: bacterial SSU rRNA
Rfam family: Bacterial small subunit ribosomal RNA
Source: RNAcentral